Molecule: long non-coding RNA, 543 nt
Organism: Neofelis nebulosa (Clouded leopard)
Lineage: Eukaryota; Metazoa; Chordata; Mammalia; Carnivora; Felidae
Exons: 4
Source: RefSeq, a predicted model, not a curated record
UCUGCCAGAGCCACCCUUCCAACCAAAAGAGACACUGCACAGGGCCACACUGUUCAUCCAUGGUGACCUCUCCUGUGGAGGAGGUAGAAAUUGACUUUAUUCCUGGCUAUUGGACAGAGACAUGGACCCCUCCAUAACCUGCUUUAAUGGCCUCAUGACAUGGCAUCAGGCUUCCUAAGGAAGAAGUGAUUCAAGAGGGAGAGAAACAUGAAUGAGUGACGUGGAUACCCGGGAAAAGCAUGCUCGUUCAAAAAGUGGGUGAAUGCAUCUCUGCUAUUAUAGAAAAUGCCACAAUGAAGAGCCUCACAUCUAGGGAUUGCCCUCCUCAUCAAUCAGCUCCUUCACCUAAAUUACAAUGAAUGAAAAUUACUGGGUCAAAGGGUGUGAACAGUUUUAUGGUUCUUAAUAUAUACCCUCAAGUUCCUGUUUUAUAUCAGCUGUCAGAAAGGGAUGAGCACAUCAAUUUAUUGCACACUCUGCCAGUAUUACUGUUACAUCUUCUUUGCCAAGUUAAUAGAUGGAAAAAUAUAUCUUAUUGUUUGA